Molecule: ribosomal RNA, 483 nt
Filed under: uncultured bacterium
Lineage: Bacteria
Description: partial 16S ribosomal RNA
Rfam family: Bacterial small subunit ribosomal RNA
Source: RNAcentral
AUUGAACGCUGGCGGCAGGCCUAACACAUGCAAGUCGAGCGGAUGAAGGGAGCUUGCUCCUGGAUUCAGCGGCGGACGGGUGAGUAAUGCCUAGGAAUCUGCCUGUAGUGGGGGAUAACGUCCGGAAACGGGCGCUAAUACCGCAUACGUCCUGAGGGAGAAAGUGGGGGAUCUUCGGACCUCACGCUAUCAGAUGAGCCUAGGUCGGAUUAGCUAGUUGGUGGGGUAAAGGCCUGCCAAGGCGACGAUCCGUAACUGGUCUGAGAGGAUGAUCAGGCACACUGGAACUGAGACACGGUCCAGACUCCUACGGGAGGCAGCAGUGGGGAAUAUUGGACAAUGGGCGAAAGCCUGAUCCAGCCAUGCCGCGUGUGUGAAGAAGGUCUUCGGAUUGUAAAGCACUUUAAGUUGGGAGGAAGGGCAGUAAGUUAAUACCUUGCUGUUUUGACGUUACCAACAGAAUAAGCACCGGCUAACUUCGUG